AACGCUAGCUACAGGCUUAACACAUGCAAGUCGAGGGGAAACGAUAGAGAAAGCUUGCUUUUUCUAGGCGUCGACCGGCGCACGGGUGAGUAACGCGUAUCCAACCUGCCCAUCACUUGGGGAUAACCUUGCGAAAGUAAGACUAAUACCCAAUGACGUCUCUAGAAGACAUCUGAAGGAGAUUAAAGAUUUAUCGGUGAUGGAUGGGGAUGCGUCUGAUUAGCUUGUUGGCGGGGUAACGGCCCACCAAGGCGACGAUCAGUAGGGGUUCUGAGAGGAAGGUCCCCCACAUUGGAACUGAGACACAGUCCAAACUCCUACGGGAGGCAGCAGUGAGGAAUAUUGGUCAAUGGGCGGAGGCCUGAACCAGCCAAGUAGCGUGCAGGAUGACGGCCCUAUGGGUUGUAAACUGCUUUUAUACAGGAAUAAAGUUAGCCACGUGUGGUUAUUUGUAGGUACUGUAUGAAUAAGGACCGGCUAAUUCCGUGCCAGCAGCCGCGGUAAUACGGAAGGUCCAGGCGUUAUCCGGAUUUAUUGGGUUUAAAGGGAGCGUAGGCCGUCUGUUAAGCGUGUUGUGAAAUGUAGAUGCUCAACAUCUGAAUUGCAGCGCGAACUGGCAGACUUGAGUGUGCGCAACGUAGGCGGAAUUCGUGGUGUAGCGGUGAAAUGCUUAGAUAUCACGAAGAACUCCGAUUG
Molecule: ribosomal RNA, 696 nt
Filed under: uncultured bacterium
Lineage: Bacteria
Description: bacterial SSU rRNA
Rfam family: Bacterial small subunit ribosomal RNA
Source: RNAcentral